CUCCUCCAUGAUUUUGUUUGGGAAAAGCAAAAGCUCAAGUUUCUGGUCUGUUCCCGAUCCCAACCCCUCUAGCUUUCAUGCUUCUCUGCUGCGCCGAAACUCAGCUCCUUACAGUCUUCUGUCUGGCUGCAACAAAACUGAAAGCAGGUUCUGGCACAUCAGAAGGAACAAAUUAAAACAAACAUGGAACAAAUCCCAUAAUACAAAGAAAAAAAGCAUUCUGCUUGACAUUGUUGGUUCAAAAACUAAAGGUAUGUGGGAAUGUGAAAGAUCAGACAAGAGGCGUGAAUCACAGCUACAAUUACAAUACAAUUGAAUAGGACUCUCGGCUCCCUCUCAGGUGGAUGCAGGAACCUGAUUGACCCUCUUUGCUCUCUGGGUGUGGAGAAGGACCUGCCGCUGCCUGCUAUUGCUGUGAUUGGGGACCAGGGGAAAAGCUCCGUGGGGAGGCGCCGCCAAGGUUGGCGCUGCCGAGAGGAAGGGGAGAGUCCUGAAAAAUGUAUUUAAAAAGUGAUGGAUGUUUUAAAAAUAUGCAUGCUAUUGGUAAUUAUUGCUAAUUGAUGAUGGGGGCAUAUCUUUUUAAGAAAGUUGAUAAAAUGUCAAGUUUUUACUAGAUAUUAUGGGGUCUGGGUCACGACCAAAAGACGAAGGUCCUGUUAACAAGCAGCUUUUUAUGGCUUGUAGUGGCUUUUAAUGGGUUUUAGGGUGGCUAGGUGUUCUUUUGGAGAUUUGGAGUAAGGAGGCACCCAGAAGGAGCUCAGAGUGUAGCCGUUGUUCAUUCACACCAAGUGAGCCAGUUGAGGCAACUUGGACAUCUAGUCCAGAUGCCUCCUGGACGCCUCCCUGGCGUGCCAUGCAUGUUCCACAAGGUGGAAAACCCUGGACACGCUGGUGAGAUGACGUCUUUCAGCUGGCCUGGGAAAUACCUCAGGAUUUCCCAGGUGAACCUGGAAGAAGUGGCUGGGCAGAGGAAAGUCUUACCGUCACCUAGCCCAGGCAGGAAAUGGAUGGAUGGAUACCUGGUAUCCAGAGUGAUUGCUUAUAUAUUGUGAGGUUUGAAAGGGGUGAGCCUGAACUCCAAACCUGUGCUUCAUUGUGAAAAAAAGAAAACAUGACAGUUGGCAAUGAAACACAAAUUACAAUUUCAAUUCAUCUGCAUUAAAUAAAAUCUCUCAAAACGU
This is a long non-coding RNA of Oryzias latipes (Japanese medaka), 1181 nucleotides long. RefSeq lists it as uncharacterized. NCBI's taxonomy places the organism in Eukaryota, Metazoa, Chordata, Actinopteri, Beloniformes, Adrianichthyidae. The record is from RefSeq and is a predicted model, not a curated record.